AUAGCAGACUAGUAAGCCCUCCUGGGGUAACAGAAGGAUGAAUAGAGUUGGACACAGGGUUGUUCCCUGCCUUUUUACAUGCGGGUUAGAUUACAGAGAGGAAGUAGUCAUCUGCUAAGGUUGUGGUGUCUGCAUGAAAGGAGAGGAAUGUGAAUGGAGUGGUCUUGCGGAUUGUGGCCUUUCUGGAAAUAGAACACCAGCCGGUUAAUCAUGGUGUUGGAUAGGUGAUAGUGUGGAUAGCCAGCUGACUGCCUGUGGGGUCCUGACCUGGAUUGGAAUUUCAGAAGACUCCCCUGCUUCUGAUGUAAAAAGAGAUGGGGAUGGAGACAGUGACGGACAGAAUAAAAGACCUCUUGUCAAGCCAGAUCACGCCUACGCUGAUGUCAGACAUAUAAAAACCACUUCAUAGUGAUUAGAAGUGUUGUAUUUACAAGUCAAGAUCAGCUCUGGUGAUUGGAUGUCGGUUUUGCACAUAUUAAAUCAUCAAAAUGCAUAACUGUCCCACUUGACCUGAUGUCCCACAUUACCUGAACUCACCCUAGAUAAACAAGAAGCUAACGUUCUACUGUUAACAAUGUAUUGUUGACUUGUUGUAGCACACAAACGUAGCACAUCUGGCACAAAUCCACCUAAUUAUUUAAUAUUUGAGCAGCGGGACUUCUCAGCAGUUCUCCAUUGUAUUGAAUGAUAUCCCCCGGUAAACCAGAAGUGCCAAUACAACAGAAGUGCAAAAAGAUGAAAAAGGUGAGCGGGGUGGAAUAAGGUGAUUAGCCAGCCACCACCAUAGCAUUUGAACUGAAUGUUGUCAUGUGUCUCUUUUACAUGUGCUCAGGCAUAGCUGUGAAGUGACAACAAUGUGUUUAAAUUAGUGUUGUCAAACAAUUACAAUAUUUAAUCGCAAUCACAUUAAUGUUAUAGUUAACUCGCAAUUAAAUGCACAUUUGUAUCUAUUCUAAAUGUCCCUUGAUUUUUUUGUCCCAUUAUUUUUCUCAUUCUAAUGCUCUUAUCAACAUGGAAAACUGGAUCGGCUUGCUUAGUGCAAUUUUAUUUAAAUUGAAAACAACAUUGGCUUUGACAAGGGGGCGGAGAAUUCGCAUCAGCUGUGCGCUUGGCCAUUAUG
Long non-coding RNA from Hypomesus transpacificus, 1120 nucleotides. RefSeq lists it as uncharacterized. The record is from RefSeq and is a predicted model, not a curated record. NCBI's taxonomy places the organism in Eukaryota, Metazoa, Chordata, Actinopteri, Osmeriformes, Osmeridae. The transcript has 4 exons.